UAUUUAUUUUAUUAUUUGGUUUAUUUGUUUUUAUUUUUUUAUUUAAUAAAAAUAAUUUUGUAGGAUUAUGUGUCUUAGUAUGUUUUGUAGAAUUGAUUCUUUUUAUUAUAGUUUAUUUGUAAUGUAAAUGGUUUAUGAAAUAUUUAUUUAAAUAAGUUAAAGUAAAUUUUGUUUAUUGUACCUUUUGUAUCAGGGUUUAUCAAAAUUUUAGUUUUUAUUAACUUUUCUCAAAUUGGGUUGAUUUAUAAACAAAUUAUAGUUAAUGUGUUAUAAUUAUUAUUAAUUUGUUUAUGGAAAUGAAAUGUUAGUCGUUUCCUAAGGUAUUUAGUUUCUUAAGAAAAAAUUUAAUUUUUUAAAGUUUUUGUUUAUUUUAAUUAUUUAAUUUUUAAUAUUAACUUGUUUAAUCUUUAGGGGAUAAGCUCUGAAGUUAUAAUCCUAUAAUUUAUUUAUUUUAAUAUAAUAAUAAGCUUUAAACCAGCUAUUUUAAGAUUACGUUUUAGUUCAUUAUUUUAUAUUUUGAUUUUAUAAUGAUUUUAGGUUUUUUAUUAAGAUGAUUAAUUUAAUUCAAUAAUUUUUGUAAUAAUGAUGGAAUUAGUAUAAUUAUUUGUUUAUAAUAUUUUAUUUUUUUUAAUUUAUUAUAAGGAAUUAGGCAAAGUGAAUUUCCGCCUGUUUAUCAAAAACAUGUCCUCUUGUUUAAUAUUUUGAGGUCUAACCUGCUCACUGAUAAUUUUAAAUAGCCGCGGUAUUUUGACCGUGCAAAGGUAGCAUAAUCAUUAGUCUCUUAAUUAGGGGCUGGAAUGAAUGGUUUGACGAGAAAUUAACUGUCUCUUAAUAAAUUUUAGAAUUUAACCUUUAAGUUAAAAGGCUUAAAUUUUUCUUUAGGACGAGAAGACCCUAUAGAGCUUGACAUUUUAUUUAUAUAUAGUUUUUAGAUAGUCUUUCUAUAUAUAAUUAUAAUGUUUUGUUGGGGUGACAUGAAGAAUUGAUAAACUCUUUAUUAUAAAAUCAUUGAUUUAUGUAUAUUUUGAUCCAUAAUUUAUGAUCAUAAGAUUAAGUUACCUUAGGGAUAACAGCGUAAUUGUUUUUGAGAGCUCAUAUCGACAAGGCAGAUUGCGACCUCGAUGUUGGAUUAAGAAAAAUUCUGGGUGCAGUAACCCAGUGAUUAGGUCUGUUCGACCUUUAAAUUCUUACAUGAUCUGAGUUCAGACCGGCGUGAGCCAGGUCGGUUUCUAUCCUAAGAUUAAUAAAUUCAUAUUAGUACGAAAGGACCCUAUGAGUGAAAUAUUUUUUAUCAAUUUGAAUAAAAUUAAUUAUU
This 1315-nucleotide ribosomal RNA is filed under the name Phlaeoba infumata. RNAcentral describes it as "16S ribosomal RNA". The stretch from base 877 to 1239 matches the Rfam family "Archaeal large subunit ribosomal RNA", at positions 2150 to 2716 of the family's 2987-position model. Lineage: Eukaryota; Metazoa; Arthropoda; Insecta; Orthoptera; Acrididae. The record is from RNAcentral.